UGGAGUUCGGUGUGUAGUUCACUGGUAGUUCGGUGUGUAGUUCACUGGUAGUUCGGUGUGUAGUUCACUGGUAGUUCGGUGUGUAUUUCACUGGUAGUUCGGUGUGUAGUUCACUGGUAGUUCGGUGUGUAGUUCACUGGUAGUUCGGUGUGUAGUUCACUGGUAGUUCGGUUCAGUGAGUUGCGCUGUGUGUGUGUGUGUGUUGAGCUGUGUGUGUGUGUGUUGCACUGUGUGUGUGUGUUGCACUGUGUGUGUGUGUUGAGCUGUGUGUGUGUGUGUUGCACUGUGUGUGUGUGUUGAGCUGUGUGUGUGUUGCACUGUGUGUGUUGAGCUAAUCAGUCACAGGUGUUUGUGUGUUUCCAGGCAGUGUGUUAAUUAUUUUCUAUUCUAUUAAUAGCCUGUAAUCUGCACCCUGUUCAGAGUGAGGAACGUACUUUCACUCACACUCUCAGCUCAACACACACACACUCUCUCACACACACACACACACACACACACACACUCUCUCAGCUCAACACGCACACACACACACUCAGCUCAACUCGCGCACACACACACACACUCAGCUCAACUCGCACACACUCAGCUCAAAACACACUCUCUCGCACACACACACACACACACACACACACUCUCUCUCAGCUCAACACGUACACACACCACCACACUCUCAGCUCAACAUGCACACACACAAACACACACACUCUGCUCAACUCGCGCACACACACACACACACUCAGCUCAACAUGCACACACUUUAAUGUACUGCACUCAGGCUGCCGAAUAUUGUAAAAGCCAAUUAUUUGUUUAAUUCUCUGAACUCAUCUCUCAUAUAUAAGAAAGAUAAUACAGGACUCAUGUGCUCUCGCUCUCUCGCUCUCUCUCUCUCUCUCUCUCUCGCUCUCAGGCACUUCACCCAUUAAACUACUUCUACUGUGCUUCCUCUUCUUUCUCUCAUCCUUCUUUUUCUCCCUGUCCUAUUCAUCAUCCGUCUCCUUCUAUUCUGACUCUCCUCCUCCUCAUUCUUCUGCUCCUCCUCUCUUAGUCUCCUCCUACUCCUCCUUAC
Molecule: long non-coding RNA, 1066 nt
Organism: Ictalurus punctatus (channel catfish)
Lineage: Eukaryota; Metazoa; Chordata; Actinopteri; Siluriformes; Ictaluridae
Source: Ensembl